RNAcentral lists this ribosomal RNA (237 nucleotides) under uncultured Staphylococcus sp. RNAcentral describes it as "partial 16S ribosomal RNA". It matches the Rfam family "Bacterial small subunit ribosomal RNA", at positions 103 to 334 of the family's 1533-position model. The record is from RNAcentral. Lineage: Bacteria; Bacillati; Bacillota; Bacilli; Caryophanales; Staphylococcaceae.
CGGGUGAGUAACACGUGGAUAACCUACCUAUAAGACUGGGAUGACUUCGGGAAACCGGAGCUAAUACCGGAUAAUAUAUUGAACCGCAUGGUUCAAUAGUGAAAGACGGUUUUGCUGUCACUUAUAGAUGGAUCCGCGCCGCAUUAGCUAGUUGGUAAGGUAACGGCUUACCAAGGCGACGAUGCGUAGCCGACCUGAGAGGGUGAUCGGCCACACUGGAACUGAGACACGGUCCAG